This 374-nucleotide ribosomal RNA is filed under the name uncultured eukaryote. Its description in RNAcentral is "partial 18S ribosomal RNA". It matches the Rfam family "Eukaryotic small subunit ribosomal RNA", at positions 592 to 976 of the family's 1831-position model. The record is from RNAcentral.
CAAGAGCGUAUGUAAAAGUUGUUGCAGUUAAAAAGCUCGUAGUUGAACCUUGGGUUUGGUUGGCCGGCCCGCUUUUUUGCGAGUACUGGAUUCAACCGAGCCUUUCCUUCUGGCUAACCAGUCGUUUCGGCGGCUGGCGAACCAGGAUUUUUACUUUGAGAAAAUUAGAGUGUUCAAAGCAGGCAUUAGCUUGAAUAUAUUAGCAUGGAAUAAUAGAAUAGGACGUUAUGGUUCUAUUUUGUUGGUUUCUAGGACCAUCGUAAUGAUUAAUAGGGACGGUCGGGGGCAUCAGUAUUCAGUUGUCAGAGGUGAAAUUCUUGGAUUUACUGAAGACUAACUACUGCGAAAGCAUUUGCCAAGGACGUUUUCAUUAA